AAUUCUCAAGCUGGAUAGUUUUCCGGUUUGGAUUUGGACUUUGCUGUGUGACUACGGCUGGUCUUAAAGGCAUUAGCUGAAUCUUGGUUUGGGACAUGCAGCGUGAUAAUUGUGAUCGCUGACCCCUCUAUGCCUCGAAUCGCUUCUAAUUUGGCUUAAUGGGAGAACCGUUAACCAACCUUUUUCAUG
Molecule: unclassified non-coding RNA, 189 nt
Filed under: uncultured Agaricomycetes
Lineage: Eukaryota; Fungi; Basidiomycota; Agaricomycetes
Description: sequence contains ITS2
Source: RNAcentral